CAUGCCCCACUGCGGCCCCCGCUGAGCUGGAGUCCGCUGGGCUCCGGGAGGAGCUCCGGCUGGGUCCAGGCCCCCUCGGCCGCGGCCCGUGCGGCACACGCUGUUUUUAGGCUAUCGCUGGCCAGCCUGGACAGAAACGUGUGGGAGAGCGCUUGUCCUCGGAAGCACUUGGUUGCUCACUGAGAUGUGCUAGACACCUCACAGCUGAGGGCUGUGGCACAGAGCGUCACCAGCUGCAGCGCCAUGCGCUUCUGGCAGGAAUAUGAACAGCUUUCAUCAUCCUUGGUUCUAUUUUUCAGGCUCUUUGCUCUUGAGCUGUCAAUGCAGCGUGAACUGGGAGUGAUGUCUUAGCCGUUCUUUGAGCAAUACAUCUUAGGACACCGCUGACUGUGCUUCUGGCCAGCAUUUCUGCCUGGCACACAGUACUUGACCAAAAGAAUUGGAAAAUGAGUAGUAAAUCCAGACAAGAAAUUAGGGAGGAGGAAAACCUACUGAACUGCAGGCAAACCAGAGGCACAUCUAGACAACUGCUAGACUCCACCGUGAACUAAGGACUCAGCUUUCUGCCUUUCUCACUGCCGGCCUCUACACACAAAUGCUCCCUUUCCCAUUCAUGUUUUGCUUCCAGCUCAAGUCUUCACCUGUUCCACAUCCUUCUGCACCAUCAGCAAUCUCUCUUCCUCAAAUGAACUGAAUCCCACUCUGUCUCAGGGUCUUAGCACUUUCAGGCAAUUGCUGCAAGAAAUGGUUCUAAGCCCUGCAUGGCUCUACAUCUGCAAAUGAACGCCUGGUCCUGCUGAAACCUGUGCAAAAUUUUGGUUAUUUUUGGUAUGGUGAUCAUUACUCCAACUCCCAGCACAGGUUGCUCAUACCAUGUACAGACUGAUUACACUACACGUCAGAAGGGUCGUCAUCGUUUGGAGCGUUACUUGUAAUAGCAACACUUUUCCAUUAAUAAAAGAAAUACUUCUUCCA
This is a non-coding RNA of Cyanistes caeruleus (blue tit), 975 nucleotides long. Lineage: Eukaryota; Metazoa; Chordata; Aves; Passeriformes; Paridae. The record is from RefSeq and is a predicted model, not a curated record.